This is a small nuclear RNA of Cricetulus griseus (Chinese hamster), 170 nucleotides long. Its record names the gene U2. It matches the Rfam family "U2 spliceosomal RNA". Rfam says of the family: U2 is a small nuclear RNA (snRNA) component of the spliceosome (involved in pre-mRNA splicing). Complementary binding between U2 snRNA (in an area lying towards the 5' end but 3' to hairpin I) and the branchpoint sequence (BPS) of the intron results the bulging out of an unpaired adenosine, on the BPS, which initiates a nucleophilic attack at the intronic 5' splice site, thus starting the first of two transesterification reactions that mediate splicing. NCBI's taxonomy places the organism in Eukaryota, Metazoa, Chordata, Mammalia, Rodentia, Cricetidae. The record is from Ensembl.
AUCACUUUUCAGCCUUUUGGCUGAGGCAGGUAGCUGUUCUCAACAGUUUAAUAUCUGGUAUGUUCUCUAUCCAAGGACAAUAUGGUAAAUUUUUAGAGCUAGGACGUAGAGUAGGAGCUUAUUCCAUCCCCUCCAUGCAUUAUAGUACCUCCAGGAACUAUGGACCGCUA